UGGCUUAAUUGGUAGAGUACCUGCCUUGCAAGCAUGAGUUUCUAGGUUCAAUUCCCAG
Molecule: transfer RNA, 58 nt
Filed under: Dipodomys ordii (Ord's kangaroo rat)
Lineage: Eukaryota; Metazoa; Chordata; Mammalia; Rodentia; Heteromyidae
Rfam family: tRNA
About the family: Transfer RNA (tRNA) molecules are approximately 80 nucleotides in length. Their secondary structure includes four short double-helical elements and three loops (D, anti-codon, and T loops).
Source: Rfam by way of RNAcentral